Molecule: ribosomal RNA, 468 nt
Filed under: uncultured bacterium
Lineage: Bacteria
Description: partial 16S ribosomal RNA
Rfam family: Bacterial small subunit ribosomal RNA
Source: RNAcentral
GACGAACGCUGGCGGCGUGCUUAACACAUGCAAGUCGAACGGAAAGGCCCUGCUUUUGUGGGGUGCUCGAGUGGCGAACGGGCGAGUACCACGUGAGUAACCUGCCCUUGACUUUGGGAUAACUUCAGGAAACUGGGGCUAAUACCGGAUAGGAGCUCCUGCUGCAUGGUGGGGGUUGGAAAGUUUCGGCGGUUGGGGAUGGACUCGCGGCUUAUCAGCUUGUUUGUGGGGUAGUGGCUUACCAAGGCAUUGACGGGUAGCCGGCCUGAGAGGGGGACCGGCCACACUGGGAUUGAGAUACGGCACAGACCCCUCCGGGAGGCAGCAGUGGGGAAUGUUGCACAAUGGGCGGAGGCCUAAUGCAGUACAGCCGCGUGCGGGAUGACGGCCUUCUGGUUGUAACCCGCUGUCGCCUGUGACGAAGAGUGAGUGACGGUAACGGGUAAAGAAGCACCGGCUAACUACGUG